CAGCAGCCGCGGGAAUACGAAGGGGGCUAGCGUUGUUCGGAAUUACUGGGCGUAAAGCGUGCGUAGGCGGCUUUGUAAGUUAGAGGUGAAAGCCCAGGGCUCAACCCUGGAACUGCCUUCGAUACUGGCGAUCUUGAGUCCGGAAGAGGUGAGUGGAACUCCUAGUGUAGAGGUGGAAUUCGUAGAUAUUAGGAAGAACACCAGUGGCGAAGGCGGCUCACUGGUCCGGUACUGACGCUGAGGUGCGAAAGCGUGGGGAGCAAACAGGAUUAGAUACCCCUGUAGUCCCUGUCUCUUAUAC
This 301-nucleotide ribosomal RNA is filed under the name uncultured bacterium. RNAcentral's name for it is "partial 16S ribosomal RNA". It matches the Rfam family "Bacterial small subunit ribosomal RNA", at positions 509 to 807 of the family's 1533-position model. The record is from RNAcentral.